CCUGGGUUGUGUCUGGGUCUUUAUCCAGUCAGACCAGCUGGGGUCUUAUGAAUACAUCUGUUGCUCAGUUUUGAAGUCCAAGGUCAAGGCACCAAAAGAUCUGGUGUCUCACAUGCUGCUGCUGGUUCUGAUGGCACCUGCCCAUGUGCCCUUGGAUGCAGCAGCAAGAGGACAGUGAGCUCUAUGCAUAGAGGCUUGCGUGGGACCCCCUCUUCCAGCCCUGAGAUCUCAUCAGGGCCUGGGGUUUGUCUAGGCUUCGAGGGGCAUAUUCAGUCCAUGACUCAAUGAAGGUGAAAAAGAUCAAAGGCUAGGAAAAAGGACCUGCCCAAGCUUCUCUCAAACUCGUCUGGGAAACCCAUAUAGAGCCCUCCAAAGCCACGUUCUCCCUUCCCCUGCCCCCAUCAGGCCACUGAGGGCCACACUCUCUAGGACUGACAGAGGGUCAGGUAGCCCAUGGGGUUCAGCCUGCUCAGUAGUCACGUGCCUGGACACUUAGCCGCCUCACUAUGGUCAUGACCCGAACUCCACCAGCGCCAACAUGGAGAAGGGCUGUGUCCCUCCCAACCAACAGGUGGCUCUCACACCCACCCAGCUCACUAAGCCAGGGUAGGAGGUGGUGAGGGCUUCACCUUCCUCUGUUCAGCAGAGCCAGGCACAGGUCUGCAGGCCCCGGGUACCUGCCCCUAGGCCUCUGCUUUGAGCAGAGGGGUCCCUGGGUGGCCAGUGUGAACACAUGCAGGACAGCCAUUUGCCCUCAGGCAUGGGGGUGCACAGAGGGCACCUACACCAGGCCACAGCACCCAGACAGGUCAGAAACCUGUGCAGACCCUGGGUGUGGGUGCCCAGCCUUGGGAGCCGGGGCCAGGCUCCUGUCCCCUCCACCCCCAGGCCAGCUUUCUGCUCUCUCCUCAGGCCUCUGUGGGCUCCGAGAAGCUGUUUUCACCAGCAGCUGGGAAAGACCCCGCACACAGCGAGAAGUGGGAGAAUAAGGCUGGGGCAGUGCCCAAGGUGUCGGGCCUGGAGCGCAGCCGUGAGCUCAGCACUGAGACCUUCUUGCCGGCUGCCGCGCCCUCCGGGCUUGCGUGCAGCACCCGUGCCAGCCCCCUGGUGAAGAAGGAAACCCCGGCGCCCCGCCACGCUCCACAGCCGCUGCCCGCACCCCCGCAGCAGCGGGACCCGCUCCCAACGCACGUGCCUCCAUCGCUGAGC
Molecule: long non-coding RNA, 1209 nt
Filed under: Marmota marmota marmota (Alpine marmot)
Lineage: Eukaryota; Metazoa; Chordata; Mammalia; Rodentia; Sciuridae
Description: lncRNA (ENSMMMG00000004723.1)
Source: RNAcentral